This 466-nucleotide ribosomal RNA is filed under the name uncultured bacterium. RNAcentral's name for it is "partial 16S ribosomal RNA". It matches the Rfam family "Bacterial small subunit ribosomal RNA", at positions 28 to 505 of the family's 1533-position model. The record is from RNAcentral.
GACGAACGCUGGCGGCGUGCUUAACACAUGCAAGUCGAACGGAAAGGCCCUGCUUUUGUGGGGUGCUCGAGUGGCGAACGGGUGAGUAACACGUGAGUAACCUGCCCUUGACUUUGGGAUAACUUCAGGAAACUGGGGCUAAUACCGGAUAGGAGCUCCUGCUGCAUGGUGGGGGUUGGAAAGUUUCGGCGGUUGGGGAUGGACUCGCGGCUUAUCAGCUUGUUGGUGGGGUAGUGGCUUACCAAGGCUUGGACGGGUAGCCGGCCUGAGAGGGUGACCGGCCACAUUGGGACUGAGAUACGGCCCAGACUCCUACGGGAGGCAGCAGUGGGGAAUAUUGCACAAUGGGCGGAAGCCUGAUGCAGCAACGCCGCGUGCGGGAUGACGGCCUUCGGGUUGUAAACCGCUUUCGCCUGGGACGAAGCGUGAGUGACGGUAAUGGGUAAAGAAGCACCGGCUAACUACG